GUGGGGAAUCUUGCGCAAUGGGCGAAAGCCUGACGCAGCCAUGCCGCGUGAAUGAUGAAGGUCUUAGGAUUGUAAAAUUCUUUCACCGGGGACGAUAAUGACGGUACCCGGAGAAGAAGCCCCGGCUAACUUCGUGCCAGCAGCCGCGGUAAUACGAAGGGGGCUAGCGUUGCUCGGAUUUACUGGGCGUAAAGGGCGCGUAGGCGGACAUUUAAGUCAGGGGUGAAAUCCCGGGGCUCAACCUCGGAACUGCCUUUGAUACUGGGUGUCUUGAGUAUGAGAGAGGUGUGUGGAACUCCGAGUGUAGAGGUGAAAUUCGUAGAUAUUCGGAAGAACACCAGUGGCGAAGGCGACACACUGGCUCAUUACUGACGCUGAGGCGCGAAAGCGUGGGGAGCAAACAGGAUUAGAUACCCGGGUAGUCC
This 425-nucleotide ribosomal RNA is filed under the name uncultured bacterium. RNAcentral describes it as "partial 16S ribosomal RNA". It matches the Rfam family "Bacterial small subunit ribosomal RNA", at positions 354 to 796 of the family's 1533-position model. The record is from RNAcentral.